GUGUCAGCCGCCGCGGUAAUACGAAUGGGGCAAGCGUUGUUCGGAUUUACUGGGCGUAAAGCGGGCGUAGGCGGCCGGCUAAGUCGGAUGUGAAAUCCCGGGGCUCAACUCCGGAACUGCAUUCGAUACUGGUCGGCUAGAGUUCGAGAGGGGGAUGCGGAAUUCCGCGUGUAGCAGUGAAAUGCGUAGAUAUGCGGAGGAACACCUGAGGCGAAGGCGGCAUCCUGGAUCGACACUGACGCUGAGGCCCGAAAGAAGGGGGAGCAAAAAGGAUUAGAUACCCUGGUAGUCCACGCCGUAAACGAUGGGUGCUAGCUGUUGGGGAGCCUAGCUCUUCAGUGGCGCAGCUACCGCGUUAAGCACCCCGCCUGGGGAGUACGGCCGCAAGGUUAAAACUUAAAUGAAUUGACGUGG
This 414-nucleotide ribosomal RNA is filed under the name uncultured prokaryote. RNAcentral's name for it is "bacterial SSU rRNA". It matches the Rfam family "Bacterial small subunit ribosomal RNA", at positions 505 to 918 of the family's 1533-position model. The record is from RNAcentral.